This 497-nucleotide ribosomal RNA is filed under the name uncultured bacterium. Its description in RNAcentral is "partial 16S ribosomal RNA". It matches the Rfam family "Bacterial small subunit ribosomal RNA", at positions 28 to 507 of the family's 1533-position model. The record is from RNAcentral.
GAUGAACGCUGGCGGCGUGCCUAAUACAUGCAAGUCGAGCGAACAGAUGAGGAGCUUGCUCCUCUGACGUUAGCGGCGGACGGGUGAGUAACACGUGGAUAACCUACCUAUAAGACUGGGAUAACUUCGGGAAACCGGAGCUAAUACCGGAUAAUAUAUUGAACCGCAUGGUUCAAUAGUGAAAGACGGUUUUGCUGUCACUUAUAGAUGGAUCCGCGCCGCAUUAGCUAGUUGGUAAGGUAACGGCUUACCAAGGCAACGAUGGGUAGCCGACCCGAGAGGGUGAUCGGCCACACUGGAACUGAGACACGGUCCAGACUCCUACGUGAGGCAGCAGUAGGGAAUCUUCCGCAAUGGGCGAAAGCCUGACGGAGCAACGCCGCGUGAGUGAUGAAGGUCUUCGGAUCGUAAAACUCUGUUAUUAGGGAAGAACAAAUGUGUAAGUAACUAUGCACGUCUUGACGGUACCUAAUCAGAAAGCCACGGCUAACUACGUG